CAUUCAUGUCUGGGGUGCCAUACGGCUGAGAUAAUACCCAUUGAACCUGCUCUGGAUAAUUCCAGCGAAGGGAGAUACGGUAAAUAAUCU
The sequence is a regulatory RNA element, 90 nucleotides long. It matches the Rfam family "TPP riboswitch aptamer (THI element)". Rfam says of the family: Vitamin B(1) in its active form thiamin pyrophosphate (TPP) is an essential coenzyme that is synthesised by coupling of pyrimidine and thiazole moieties in bacteria. The previously detected thiamin-regulatory element, thi box was extended, resulting in a new, highly conserved RNA secondary structure, the THI element, which is widely distributed in eubacteria and also occurs in some archaea. The record is from Rfam.